This 802-nucleotide ribosomal RNA is filed under the name Bacteroidales bacterium. Its description in RNAcentral is "bacterial SSU rRNA". It matches the Rfam family "Bacterial small subunit ribosomal RNA", at positions 1 to 796 of the family's 1533-position model. Lineage: Bacteria; Pseudomonadati; Bacteroidota; Bacteroidia; Bacteroidales. The record is from RNAcentral.
UACUAUGGAGAGUUUGAUCCUGGCUCAGGAUGAACGCUAGCGGCAGGCUUAAUACAUGCAAGUCGAGGGGCAGCACGGGUAGCAAUACCUGGUGGCGACCGGCGCACGGGUGCGUAACGCGUAUGUAAUCUACCAUUAACCGGGGAAUAGCCCAGAGAAAUCUGGAUUAAUGCCCCAUAGUAUUAUCGAAAGGCAUCUUUUGAUAAUUAAAGCUCAGGCGGUUUUUGAUGAACAUGCGUGUCAUUAGUUUGUUGGUGAGGUAACGGCUCACCAAGACUACGAUGACUAGGGGGUCUGAGAGGAUGAUCCCCCACACUGGUACUGAGACACGGACCAGACUCCUACGGGAGGCAGCAGUAAGGAAUAUUGGGCAAUGGAGGCAACUCUGACCCAGCCAUGCCGCGUGAAGGAUUGACGGCCCUCUGGGUUGUAAACUUCUUUUGUACGGGAAUAACCCUCCGAACGUGUUCGGAGCUGAAGGUACCGUAAGAAUAAGGAUCGGCUAACUCCGUGCCAGCAGCCGCGGUAAUACGGAGGAUCCAAGCGUUAUCCGGAUUUACUGGGUUUAAAGGGUGCGUAGGCGGAUUGAUAAGUCAGUGGUGAAAGCCUGCAGCUUAACUGCAGAACUGCCAUUGAUACUGCCAGUCUGGAGUAUGGUUGAGGUAGCUGGAAUGUGUCAUGUAGCGGUGAAAUGCUUAGAGAUGACACAGAACACCGACGGCGAAGGCAGGUUACCAACCCAUUACUGACGCUGAGGCACGAAAGCGUCGGUAGCGAACAGGAUUAGAUACCCUGGUAGUCC